CCAUUGGAGCCAUUUCAAAGGUUUUAAAAGAGAGAGAGUAAGAGGUUGGAGAGGCUAUGAAUUCAAUCACUUCAGGAAUAGCUUUUUAUACUACCAUUUACUUCUUGUAGUUCUUAUUUGUUAGCUGUUAGGUGAUUGGAUUUGGUAUUUUAAAUUUUGCAAAGUGAGUUGCAUAUCCAACCUUCAUCUCGCCAUUUGGCAGAAAACAAUUUUACAUUUUUCUGUUUUACCUUAUAAAAGAAAUUCAUCACAGGCC
Molecule: unclassified non-coding RNA, 256 nt
Filed under: Hevea brasiliensis (rubber tree)
Lineage: Eukaryota; Viridiplantae; Streptophyta; Magnoliopsida; Malpighiales; Euphorbiaceae
Source: RNAcentral